CUACUCGUUUCUUACUUUCAGAGCAGAUCAGGCCAAAGUUAUUUGGCAUAGCCUUUGUCUUGACAAACUCACUGUUGACCCUGUGCUGCGCAAUACCUUAAAUAAAUGCGAAAAAAACCCAUCGUGCCCCUUUGAACCAAAAACCCAGUCCAGGUUCCUCUGAACCGAUAAAAAUAAACACAAAGUACUGAAUCAAAUGAAAGAAGCCGUAAAAAGAGUAAAUUUAGAGUGCCUGGCAAUGGCCCAGCGCUCAGCCACCUAUUUAUACAACAAAGCCACUUUUUCCUUGUACAUAUUGUUUGCUUUUUAAACUGAUAUAACUAAUGGAGCUGCAUAACACACGGGGUCCUGGCCAUGCCAUGUGCACACACCAGCUCUCUUUGAUUGCGGGCAGGAGAUGUAAUUAUCACCCAGAAUCACAGAAUACCCAGAGAUGGAAGGGACUGACAAGGAUCGAGUCCAAUUCCUGGCCCUGCACAAGACACCCCAACAAUCCCACCAUGUACCUCAGAGCCUUGUCCUAAUGAUGACCUGACCUGCAAGCCUGAAUACAUAAAAAGAUGCUAGAGCUGCAAACUGCACUGUAAUUCCAGUUCUCCAAUAGGUUUCUUUAGGGAGGCCUUGGCUUUCAAGCAUUCAGGCUGAGAACAAGCAGACCACUGAACACACUGUGUGUGCCCUGGCAUCCUGCUACAUCAUGGGAGAAGUUUUUCAGUUGCUGUACAAACGCUGCAUGUGCUAGUUCCAAAUUGGAGUUAUUUAACAUGAGUGUCUCCCCACUGGAAACAGGAAAAAUGACCAAAAGAGGUGCUGAGGAGGGGCAGAGAGCCGAGCGUUCUGGAGCGCCCUCUGCUCCCGCCACCUCCCUCAGGAACCCACCUCAGCACCCCCUCAGUGCGGGGGGAGCUCUGAUCGGGGGCCUGAGCUUUGAUGUUUUUAAUUUCCUCACAGCAACAGAGCGCUAGGGCAAACUACGAAAGAGGAAAGUACUACUGCUUCGGAAAAGGCAAAAAAAGCUGCCGCACACGCCGGGGGGCGGCGCCAGACCACCAAACCCCCUCACGGCACCAGCUCGCACGCCCAACGCCCCUCAGCCCGCCCACUGCCCUCACGCGGCCCCGCCCACCCUCGCGCACAGCAGCACCCGGAUCAGCACGUGACCACAGAUUCCAACCCUAUUGGAGAACACGAGGAGGGCGGGGCCGGCCGCUCUAUAAAGGGGAACGCGGGGGGUGCUCGGCCUCUUUUCCUCCUGCGGCAGAGGAGGGCCCGUGCGGAGAUCGGGAUCGGCGGUAAAUAAAGCUGUGUGCCCCAAAUCGUGUCCGGCUGGUUCUUCCCGCGCGGUCCCGCACUGCUUUUGACCCGGCGGUGCCCGCUCGGCGCCGCCGGCCAAGCAGCGGUGCUACAGCGAAGGCUUGUUCAUAACUGGGGCCGCUCGGCAUCUCCCGGGCGGCGCUUUUAAAAACAAGUGACAUUUGCGUGCCAGAGCCGCCCUGUGGCACCCCUGCGGGGACACACGGCUCGGGGAGGGGUGUACAAACCCUGCUGUCCUUCUGGAUGGAGCCCAUUCCCUGCUGGAGAGGGCGGUGCCAGCGAAAGCAGAUCCGGGUCACUGUCACCGUUCAAGGCGACUUCACCCAAAAUAGCCCGGGGCAGGAAUUUUUUCCUGUGGUAGUUCAGGUUUUAGCUGGAAAAGGGACUUGGAAAAACUAACCUGAGUCCUGGGAUGCCUGCCAAGCUGUUGCAGGAGUAAAGCAGCUGGGUGAAUAUGCAGGAGACACACAUCCAGGGCUGGGGGUCCUUCAUGCACACAGAAAAAAACCCAACUUGAAAUAAAAUAGGAAUUUGACUCCUGCAGCUAUUUAAAGGGCCUGUGUUUUUUCCAUCUGUUAAUACUGGUGCUAAGGGUAUCCUGCAGACAGUGGAGAUGUACAGUGUUUUCUGUAAAUAUAUAACUACUCUGAUGUCACGAUUGGACACAAAAUAGUAGCAGCAGAGUCCAGGCAGACUGUAAAAGAUGAUCAAGCUCACAGAGGCUCUUGAAGUUACCAGAAUUGCAGACCCCCUCCUUAAUUGCUGGUAAUCCUUUCAAGGCUUUCACAACUAUGAUUUUAAAGCACGUGCCUCAUACGGUAACUAACUACUGUGAUUAAAUUUAGUUUAAGGACAGUAAAAUUAAAUUUAGGCUUUUAAAGCUAUAACAGUCUCAGCACUGGUUACCCCUGGAAUCAUGAUAAUCACCAAGUACAUGUAUAUAUAAAAAAGUCUGCAAGCACAUGGCACACUCAGCAAACUGCCUUUCUAAUGAAGUUUUUGGAACAACUUGCACAGGAUCAUGGCUAAGUGCUGUAGAAAUAAAAUUUAACUGAAUUGUUGGACAUGGGAUAAAUUUAUUUAAUAAAACAAAGCAAGCAGAUUGUAGUUACCCACAGUUUAUGAAGUGCAAUAUGACAAUCUCGUGUAAUAAGUCUAAAUCUGUUUACACAUUAGUGCAUCUAGUCCUUUGACUUAAGUUAUUGCACAUAGAAAUUAACUCAUAGAAAAGACCUGUGUAACAAGACAUGCAGACUUCAUGAAAGGCAAAUAAUGCCUACAGAAUCAGCAAACCCCAGAAUAUACACAGCCUGGAAUGGUCAAGGAGGAGUUCAGGUAACAAAUAUAACCUACUAAUAUUUCAAUUAAAGGUAACCAAAAUAGGUGUUCAAAUAUAGAAUUAAUUUUAAAUAUAUUAAAUGCUAAUUUUCUUUUUUUUUAUGUUUCAGGCAAGGUGCUGUUUAAAAAACCUUCAAUAUAAUAGCUUCAUUUAGAGAUGGUAAAUCAUCAAGUUAUACAUGGAAAUUUUGAUUUACAUCAAAUGUGACAACACAACGUACAAAAAAGUUCUUAAAAAAUUCUAAAAAAAAAAAAAGAAAA
Molecule: long non-coding RNA, 2913 nt
Organism: Pseudopipra pipra
Lineage: Eukaryota; Metazoa; Chordata; Aves; Passeriformes; Pipridae
Exons: 2
Source: RefSeq, a predicted model, not a curated record